GGCGCUGAGAAUGGGAUGUCGUCUGUUCUCUGAUCUCUCUGCCGCAGCCUGUGUCGCACUGUAAUGUGCACUGGCCGUGGGGGUCGUAGGCAGUACUCAGGGAGAACCAGGAAACCUAGAAAUGGACUCAGUGGCCUUUGAGGAUGUAGCUGUGAGUUUCAGCCUGGAGGAGUGGGCUUUACUGGAUCCUUCACAGAAGAAACUCUACAGAGAUGUGAUGCAGGAAACCUUCAGGCACCUGGCCUCCAUAGGGUAAACAUAGGAAGAUCAUGACAUUGAAGAUCAGUCCAAAAACCAGAGAGGAAAACGAAGAAGUCAUGUGGCAGAGAGAAUCUGUGAAGGGAAAGAAGGUAGUCAACAUGGAGAAAAUUUCAGCCUUUUUCCAAAUUUCAGUCUGAAGAAGAAAACUCUUCCUGGAG
RNA transcript from Pteronotus mesoamericanus, 419 nucleotides. It is a transcript of the gene named putative KRAB domain-containing protein ZNF788, with no coding region annotated. The transcript has 4 exons. Lineage: Eukaryota; Metazoa; Chordata; Mammalia; Chiroptera; Mormoopidae. The record is from RefSeq and is a predicted model, not a curated record.